This 273-nucleotide ribosomal RNA is filed under the name uncultured soil bacterium. RNAcentral describes it as "partial 16S ribosomal RNA". It matches the Rfam family "Bacterial small subunit ribosomal RNA", at positions 26 to 301 of the family's 1533-position model. The record is from RNAcentral.
AGAUUGAACGCUGGCGGCAGGCCUAACACAUGCAAGUCGAGCGGUAGAGAGGUGCUUGCAUCUCUUGAGAGCGGCGGACGGGUGAGUAAUGCCUAGGAAUCUGCCUAGUGGUGGGGGAUAACGUUCGGAAACGGACGCUAAUACCGCAUACGUCCUACGGGAGAAAGCGGGGGACCUUCGGGCCUCGCGCCAUUAGAUGAGCCUAGGUCGGAUUAGCUAGUUGGUGAGGUAAUGGCUCACCAAGGCGACGAUCCGUAACUGGUCUGAGAGGAU